AUUCACUGGCGACCACGAAGAGAUGUCUGCAUUGCGUCACACACGCGCGCGCACGAGCUGUUUGUUGCCAUGUUUCACAUUGUGGAGUUUUUGGAAACCCAAGAGGUGGAAGUUGUGCCAGCGCUUUGGGUUACAGAUGAAAUUUGUCAAUGGCCAGCUCACUACAAAGCGGAUGAAUUAGUGAAGGCCGUACGGAGCCAGGAGCAGCCUGGAGUCACAUGGGAUGCAUUUCGUGUUCAAAUUUUAUAUACAGCUGCAAACUACAAACAUGCUUGUCUAAAACUUCCUGAAGCUGAAGCCUACACUGAUCUGCAAACAGCAGAGGAAGACAAGGAUGACUAUCCAAAGAAAAAACGAAAACGUCUGCCAAACAUUCACUUUGAAAGUGAUAGUGAGGAGGAAGUUCCUGUCAAACAAAAAAUUACAUUGCCUCCAGCCCCAAAAAUAAAAACGCAGAACUUUGAUAAACAGUCUGCAGUAAGGAGAAAAGUUCAACGGCCUGAACCACAAAAACAAAAGACAAGCCUAGAUCUCAGACGGUCUCUUACAAGUCCUAAGCCUAGACAAAGUCCUGAGCCUUGGCAGUCUGUAAGAAGCCCUGAGCAUAGACAAUCAACAAGUCCGGAACCAAGAUGCUCUGUGACUAGUCCUCAACCCCUUGAACUACAUGAAAGCCAAAGACAAUCAGGAACAACAAUUUCAAAUAGUCUGUCUUCUCUACUGCACAAACUUCUUACAAAUCAAGAAAUUAUAAUGGAACAACUUAAAAUGAUUCAGAUGAACCUGCAAAAUACAGGCCAACCUGUCCAGGGACAGGAUUCCCUCAAGAGAGUAGUACUGCCACUCAAAGAUGUGGCUGCCCUCCUUGCGUUAGAAAAACGCCUCAGAGAAGAGGAAGACCUCAAAAACAAAAUGAUCACUACCUUCAGUGUCAUUGGAGGAGUUGACAUUAAAGAUAGUGUUUGGCGAAUCAUGAAGCACUGUUUUACCAACACCCUUGCCAAACAGCUCAACUGGCGUGGCAUCAAUGGCAAAACAGCUUUCCAUGGACUGCAUAUGAAAGAUGUAAUUACUGGACUGUGAGAAACAACAGGCUCACAGCAGCAGCAACGGAUCAAGAGGUAGAGUUUUACAUUAAAAGAUGGCUUCAACUUGCCAGUGACCGAGAUGGAGGGAGAAGAGAAAGAGAGGAGCGAAGACGCAGUCUCCAGAAAAACUGUUUACAAGAUGGCACUGAUGGACCCAGUCAAGAAGAACACUAAAUAAAAAAUAAAUGUCUUUACAUAG
Molecule: non-coding RNA, 1287 nt
Organism: Danio rerio (zebrafish)
Lineage: Eukaryota; Metazoa; Chordata; Actinopteri; Cypriniformes; Danionidae
Source: Ensembl